This 446-nucleotide ribosomal RNA is filed under the name uncultured bacterium. Its description in RNAcentral is "partial 16S ribosomal RNA". It matches the Rfam family "Bacterial small subunit ribosomal RNA", at positions 338 to 795 of the family's 1533-position model. The record is from RNAcentral.
CCUACGGGUGGCUGCAGUCGAGAAUCAUUCACAAUGGGGGAAACCCUGAUGGUGCGACGCCGCGUGGGGGAAUGAAGGUCUUCGGAUUGUAAACUCCUGUCAUGUGGGAGCAAACUAAAAAGAUAGUACCAUAAGUGGAAGAGACGGCUAACUCUGUGCCAGCAGCCUCGGUAAUACAGAGGUCUCAAGCGUUGUUCGGAAUUACUGGGCGUAAAGGGUGCGUAGGCUGUUUCGUAAGUCGUGUGUGAAAGGCGCGGGCUCAACCCGCGGACGGCACAUGAUACUGCGAGACUAGAGUAAUGGAGGGGGAACCGGAAUUCUCGGUGUAGCAGUGAAAUGCGUAGAUAUCGAGAGGAACACUCGUGGCGAAGGCGGGUUCCUGGACAUUAACUGACGCUGAGGCACGAAGGCCAGGGGAGCGAAAGGGAUUAGAUACCCUUGUAGUC